UAAUAUUAUUAAAGAAGAUGUUGUAAAAUUCUUAUAAUUGUCUUUUUUUUUUAACUACCACCUCUCUAAAAUAAGAGUAAUUUUAUUCAAAAAUUACUUUUUGCAACUAAUAAUGUCACAUUGUUCAAUUUCAACUACAUGAUUAUUGUUUGUUAAAAAAAAACUACAUGAUUAUUGUAUUAUGUCUUUCCUUGUUAGGAUUAGUUCAAUUGAUGAUGUCACAUGGUUCAUAUUCAAUUUCCUUCUUUUGUUUAAAUAUUACUUUAUUAUAUUCCUCUUCAUUUUGCACUAUUGUUUUUUUUUCUCUUCUAUCUUACGAAAAUAACUUUGCUUUUAACCCUAACCUGCAUGUCAUCUUCAUUCUCUCAAAUUUAUUCAUCAUCUUCUCUUUGAACCUGUCCUCUCUUAGCAUUAUAUAUUCUUUCUCUCAAUUGUCUUUAUCAUAUUCUUCGAUAGAAUUUUCUUAGCGGCGGUGGCAGAACUACGUGUUCAUGGCCGUUCGCGGCGGUCGGUGGUGAUUAUUUUGAAGGAUUGGUUUCAACCUUCUUUUUUUUUCUUCCAAUUUGCUUUGUUAAUAUGUUUGGUAUUUGAUGGAUUUAGAGACUUUCCAUCAAGUCUUUUUUGGGAGGAGCAAAAUUCACGGCGACAAUGGCCUUACCUUCCAAGUAGAAGAUGACAUGUUCAAAAAGCAAUUGGAGAUAUUGCUAAAACAUCUAAAUCGUCUUCAUCAGACAUGGAGAUUGAGAUACUAGAGCUUCUAUACGGUUGAUGACUUCCAAGAACCAUGAGUCUUCGUUGCAAAAGCUUGAAGCAACAAUCAAUCACAACACCUUUAUUAAUGCGGUGAACUAUAUUUAGUGAGAAAGGCUGUUUGUUACUUCAAGCAUGAUUGUUACGUCUGCACUGAUCAUAUGAAAGGCAUUGAUGUGCAUCACCGAUAGUGAAUCUUCUGUUUUUGUUCUUUCUGGAAGUAUGGAACCGGUAUUCAAGCGGGUAAGCCAAUCUUAUACAUGGAAGACUUAGGUUUUUUUAAUGAGAAAACUUUUAUCUAUUGUCUAAUUAUCCAACCUCUUGGAUUUUGGAUUUGAGGAUUAAUGCAAGGACAAACAAUGGAGAAUAUGAACAACAUUUUUGGGUUCCAUUAUUAUAUAAUUAUAUGCUGACAAGUUCAAGAAUAAAGGAUUGGGUAAAAAAACGUGACCGCAAGUAUCUUUUGAAGUUACUAUUAUGCCAUGAUCCAACUACAUUGCACUCAUCGUGUUGCUCAAUUGCAGAGUAAAAAUGUUAGUUUUAGGUUGUGUUUAUUAACAUGAAUCCUCUACUUUCUUUACGGUUUUUCAGGUGUUCAAAUCAUCAUCUAGAAGAUGUGCCAAAAGCAUUAGAAAAACUUUACAAUAUUUGCAACUUAAUUACCUUGACCUCUAUCUAGUAAGCAUUGUCGUUUCCAUAUAUGUUGAUAAUGAAGCUCAGAUUGGUACUAAAACUAAUAUAUAGACAUGACUAAUGAUUUGAAAAAAUAAAAAUGAUUGAAUGUAAUUGAUAUGUCAGUGUUAGAUACUGAAAUGUGUCACAUACCAAUAAUAGAUAAUUCUGAAACGUGACAAUAAUUGAUUUGUGUUUGAAGUGAAUUUCUUAUAGUUAAACAUGUAGAAUUGAAUAUGACAUUUCCAAACUUGGUUAGUUUGGAAAUACUCAAACUGGAGGAUUCUUACGUGAUAUUUUAUAAUGUGCAUUUUCAAUCUCAAUAAUUUUAGUUUUUUCAUGAUGA
Molecule: long non-coding RNA, 1768 nt
Organism: Vicia villosa (hairy vetch)
Lineage: Eukaryota; Viridiplantae; Streptophyta; Magnoliopsida; Fabales; Fabaceae
Exons: 3
Source: RefSeq, a predicted model, not a curated record